ACUAUUUUGGCAGAAAAAUGUAAUGAUUUUAGAAGUCAUAAAUAUAUGAAUUAAGUUUAUAUAAGUAGUA
RNAcentral lists this transfer RNA (70 nucleotides) under Thaumetopoea bonjeani. RNAcentral's name for it is "transfer RNA-Leu". Lineage: Eukaryota; Metazoa; Arthropoda; Insecta; Lepidoptera; Notodontidae. The record is from RNAcentral.